RNAcentral lists this ribosomal RNA (658 nucleotides) under uncultured bacterium. RNAcentral's name for it is "bacterial SSU rRNA". It matches the Rfam family "Bacterial small subunit ribosomal RNA", at positions 796 to 1455 of the family's 1533-position model. The record is from RNAcentral.
CACGCCNUAAACGAUGUCGAUUAGCUGUUGGGCAGCAUGACUGCUUAGUAGCGAAGCUAACGCGUGAAAUCGACCGCCUGGGGAGUACGGUCGCAAGAUUAAAACUCAAAGGAAUUGACGGGGACCCGCACAAGCGGUGGAUGAUGUGGAUUAAUUCGAUGCAACGCGAAGAACCUUACCUGGUCUUGACAUGUACGGAACCCUCCAGAGACGGAGGGGUGCCUUCGGGAGCCGUAACACAGGUGCUGCAUGGCUGUCGUCAGCUCGUGUCGUGAGAUGUUGGGUUAAGUCCCGCAACGAGCGCAACCCUUGUCAUUAGUUGCCAUCAUUAAGUUGGGCACUCUAAUGAGACUGCCGGUGACAAGCCGGAGGAAGGUGGGGAUGACGUCAAGUCCUCAUGGCCCUUAUGACCAGGGCUUCACACGUCAUACAAUGGUCGGUACAGAGGGUAGCCAAGCCGCGAGGUGGAGCCAAUCUCACAAAACCGAUCGUAGUCCGGAUUGCACUCUGCAACUCGAGUGCAUGAAGUCGGAAUCGCUAGUAAUCGCAGGUCAGCAUACUGCGGUGAAUACGUUCCCGGGUCUUGUACACACCGCCCGUCACACCAUGGGAGUGGGGGAUACCAGAAGUAGGUAGGGUAACCGCAAGGAGCCCGCUU